CAGCCCCCGCCCCCCCCGGCUCCCCUCACACACACACACACACACACACACGCACACACGCACACCGCCCGCUGACACCCGGAGCUGGCCCGGCCCUCCUUCCCCUCCUCCUUCCGCUCCGUCCCGGUGCCCGGUGCUGCUCUCCCGCCUCUUCCCCGCGCCCUGAACCGCUACCGGCGGGACCCCGCUCUCAGACAAUAAGUGCGCUGCCCCCGUCCGGCACCCGCGCCGCGGCCGCCUCCGAGCGCAGCCGGCCCGGGCCGCCCUCCCCUCCCCCCGCGUCCUGUCCCCGAGCAGACCCGCCAAUCACGCGCCGAGGGCGGGUAAGCUGCGAGGGGACACCGGCCAAUCGGAGAAGCGUAAGGAGCGCGGCCGCGCCGUACGUCACUGCGGGUGGCAACAGGGAGGCAGCCGUGCCGCCGCGCGGGGGCGCUGCCGCGCGCCGAGGGGGAGGGGCGGUGCGAGGGAAGGCGUAACGGUUGGGGCGGGGCGGCGGUGAGAGGAACAACCGAUACGCCCCGGGCCGUCCUGCCCACGCCGCGCCCGUGGGGAAGGACACGACGCGCUUUCCCGCGAGGAACGCGCCUUCGCAGGGACACGCUGUGGGAGGCAAGCGCUGAGGGUCGGCAAGGCACGGCUGCCGCCUUUCUCGGGGCUGUCAGGUGGAUGCUGAGCUUCCAAUUUUGUAUGAAGGACCUGGAAAAUUAAUCGUGUAUAGUGAACCAGGGCUGCUACAAUGAAUAUCAAGAGAACCUGAGAAAACAGCAUGAGUGCAUCUGUUCAAAGCUUUUUGCGUUGGUAAAGGACCAUUAAUGAGUACAGCAGAAGGAGAACAAGUCACAAACACUCCUGUACUACAUUCUUGAUAGCUCCAGCUGUUUAGUAAACAGGCUGUUCUUAGUGUGGGAAGUAUGCCUUUGCACUCAUUUAUCCUCAGCCAAGUAGGAGAUAGCGAUCUAGCUUGAAGACGGCCAAUUCUCCACACAUUAGAGAAAGACAGAGGGAGUUUCUUCUUGGCAGUUGCUGAUCUUUGCAUGUGCAUGGUCAGACAUGUUCAGCCUUUGUGUCAUGCUGCAGUAAAUAUAGGAGGAAAGGCUGACAUUCCUCUAAGUGUUUUCUUUAGUCUUCUUUGAAAUUACUUAGUCCAAGUUGCUUUUAAUUUAAUUCUCAUCAUAUACGGUACUACCUGCAUGGCGUGUUAUUGGCUUACUGUUUAUAUUGGUUUUAUCCUUAAUAUGUGUAUGUUGAAUGGUUGCAUUCUUUGCCGUGUAGGAUUGUGUGACAAAGUUCUUAUGAGACUACAGGCAGCUGCCUCCAUGGAGGUCGGAGGUGAAGAAGUGAAACAAGACUGCUAAUUAUGUUUAAAGUGACUCCUUCUAAAACAAACAUGGAAUUAAAUUUAAGCACGAAUCAAAUUCAAGCAGCAUAACAUUUUGACACGAGUGGAUUUCUCUGCUGGAUGCCACCUGCUCCAAUCAUGUACUAUCAGUUUAUGUCAAAUACUUUACACUUACUGUGUGACAUUUUAAAUUAAUAAUCCCCUUGAGAUUAUAUACACAAAAUUCGUAUUUCAAUUCAUUGGAGAAUUGCUUGUUCUCAUAGUUGGAGACCAUAAUAUAAAUACAAGUAUCCUAUGGAUUUUCAAAACAACUGUCUACUUGAACUGGCUUCACUACUGGUUUCAAUAUUUCAUUGGUUUUACUAAGCAAAAUAUUGUAACAUUACUUUGUGUUUAAUUAUUUUAGCAAUAAAACAGCUGUAUGUAUGAUCUUUAAAUAUUUCUAUACUUAGUAUGUACAAACUUCUCAUCUGUUGUAAGUUAUUUGCUGGUUCUAGUUUACUUGCUGUUUAAUAAAUCCUUCUCUUUCUUUGUGGCUUUCCUGGAA
Molecule: long non-coding RNA, 1886 nt
Organism: Columba livia (rock pigeon)
Lineage: Eukaryota; Metazoa; Chordata; Aves; Columbiformes; Columbidae
Exons: 2
Source: RefSeq, a predicted model, not a curated record